ACGACCUUACUUGAACAGGAUCUGUUCUAUAGGAUCGUACCUCUGUGUCCUUUAACACUAAGGAGACAGGAACCUAAGUCUGGUUGAGGAAUCAUGACCGUGUGAUCAUAGCGUGAGUAAUGGCUUGAUAAUCCCUGUGAUCAUCAUGGCUGUAGAGGAUCGUUCUCCAACCAUAGAUUUGGAUGGGGAUGGUCAUGCGGUUGUCUGACAGACU
Small nucleolar RNA from Populus nigra (black poplar), 214 nucleotides. RefSeq annotates it as small nucleolar RNA U3. The transcript has a single exon. The record is from RefSeq and is a predicted model, not a curated record. Lineage: Eukaryota; Viridiplantae; Streptophyta; Magnoliopsida; Malpighiales; Salicaceae.